Molecule: long non-coding RNA, 3443 nt
Organism: Wyeomyia smithii (pitcher-plant mosquito)
Lineage: Eukaryota; Metazoa; Arthropoda; Insecta; Diptera; Culicidae
Exons: 2
Source: RefSeq, a predicted model, not a curated record
CAAGACAGGUCUAUAAGAAGGUAAACAAACCUGCAGUCAAAUCCUUGUGGUUGCCAGAUUUGUUUGCAACCGAAUAUUUAUUGUUAAAAGAGUUGUUAUUUUGAUUGCAUUUCUGUGCGAGUCUGUAUCAGGCCCAUGGCAAGCCACCUGUAUUUGUGACUUUAUUAUAUAUCGAGAGAAACAGUUGAACGUGAUUGGCACAAAACAAACACAACUUUACAUGGCUUAUACGGUUGCUACACUGAAAAUCAUUCCCACGCUCAUGCCAAAUGCUCUUUACGCAUGAAUGCUAAUAAACAAACCCAAUCAUUUUUUCAUGUCAAUCCAUAUCGGUUUUUGAUGGAGUCCACGCUAUUUUGGUGUAUUUUGGCAUUCAACGUGUUUUGUCAUUGUAAUCUGAUUGUUAUGAUAGAUAUAAGUACAGAUGUAAAUGAAAUCCAAUUCGCAGUAACGUGUCGAAUUUUUAUAGUGUUGUGUGUGUAGAUGAAAAGUCACUUAUCUUUAUGGGGCCGUUCAAUAAUUACGUAAGCAUAUUUUUCCACUUUUUCUACUUUUUCUGGUGAUUCUGAAAAUAUACCAUCAGACCAAAAAAACGAUAUUGCAUCUUUCACACCAGUUUGGACUAAAGAUACUCAGAGAGAGAGAGAGAGAUAAGUGAUGAAAAAAACCGCCUAUUUGGCAACUAGGUUUCACAUGUCAGAGGUGCCAGAUCUCUUCUCAAAGUGCAAUGAUGACAAACUUUUUCAUUCGACUCGUAUACCCAGGCCUUAGACGCGCCCAUUCUUUUGUACUGGGUGUUAUGUGACUUUUUUGUGGCUCCAUUUCCAUUGCGAACCCACCGUGCUUCCAAUAUUUUGCUUGUUAUUUUUCGGUUAUAGAAAAGUUGCGUUUUUUCAUAAACCUGCGUAUAACUGAUUGUGACGGUGGAAGUCCUCAGGAAUAAUAAAGUGCAUCACAAAAACCGUGAAAGUGUUAAGUUUUAUGUUUAUCUUAAUUUUUAUAUACUUUCAACAUAUUUGAAUAUUAUUUUGUUUACCAUACGAGAGGUUUGUAAGCCACCAGUUAAAAAUCACUGUGAUAAACCAAUUUUGGAGCAUCCCCAAUUCAUUGUUUAGCAAUUGAACAUAAAAAACGUGUUAAAAUAAAUAUAUUCUUCAUUGUAUCUGAUUGCAAAAACUUCAAUGUGUUACCUUUCUUGUUCGUUUGGCUCGGAUUUUGACAUGUUCGUUUGGCUCACAAAAUAACUCUUCGCAUAUCUCUCCCUCUGAGUAUAGCUAGCCUGCACAUACACUGAUUUAAACGGUUUGAAUUAGGCAUGUCAUGUGAAUUUGAUUAAUGUAUUCACGUUACGUGAAAAAAUGUUUCCACACCCAAUUAAUAUUUCUAUAGUUGGAGACCAUCCUAGAAAACACACUAAAUCGGUAGCCGCUCAUCAGCCGACUAUUACCCGCAUAAUCAAUAACCAUAAAACGUGUAUAACAACUAGUUUGGGAUAUAGUCACGACUGUAUGGGUUAUCAUGUAACCGAUAAUCAUGUUAUCAUGGUUAUCAUCCGUUUUUGGUUAUUGAUAAUGCGGGAAGGCGUUUACGUCUUCACACGAGCUCAAAUGCAGGGGACUAUAAACGUCAACAUUUUGCCUACCAAUCAUCAAUUCAUCACGGCGUCAAUAUUUCACUUCAAAUGCUUACAUAACCUAUCUUAUUCUUUGAAAGUGCACAUUGUACUGUAAACAAAUGUUGAGUUCUUGUUUUCCCAUCUAAAACAAUAUUUAUUCGAAAUAAAGUUUACCGAAAAUUUAGAACGUUUACUCUAUUUCACUAGUUUUAGGGCAAACCAACCAAAAAGUGGGAACCAGGAACGCUGGUACCAGGCUCAAUCAGUGGUAGAUGGAAAAUGUAUGGAGUUUGACAGCCACACGAGCCUCUUGCUCAAAUGUCAAAUUUCAUAUUCAUCAAGUACACUAUUCGAUUCAUAACUACACUUUCUGAAUAUUUUUGUAAAAUCAUAUUACACUUGAGUCGCUUUUUCAUGGGAGAUACGUGCCGCGUAAAUUCCAGAAUCUGCGUAAAAUAACUGCGUAAAUUUCGGAUUAUACACACUUAAUUUAUCUCGCCAAACUUCCCAACAGCUGAUGGACCUCGGCGAAAUGUUCAACAUAUGUCAUCAGUACAUUUCAACGAACAUUCAGCAAAUAUAUCGAUCUACCGUAAACCAGCGGGUAAUCAAUUCCAUUUGCCAAUGUUCUUGAAAAUUUCGCCGAAAACUUGUGGAACAUUUCGCUGAACUUAUCAGUUGUUGAGUUCUCGGCAAAGAAAUAUAACUGUGUUCUUCUUAAUAUAACCAAAAAGCUAUUCAACCGGAAUAUAGAAUGGAGCAUACGCAGGCGGAGACACAACAUGUAUUUUCAAACUGCACAAAUAUCCAACAAUUGCUAAAUUUAAAUAAAUGCGUGCUCCGUUUAUAACCCACACUGAGUGAUAUCUUGUGAUAUCCAAAGUUGAAUAAUAUGACGCCAUGUCAAAAUUUUCCAUAGAUACAAUUAUUCCAGUCGAAGGGUCUUUUUCAAUAUCUUAAUCGUUUGUUCUUGUUACAUUCUGAAUCACUAAUUCUUUUUUUAAAAGAUCUUAUGUAAAAAAAUAUCGUUGAUUGAAUUUCACUAUGAAAUUAAAAAAUCGAUCGCUUGAUUCUAAAACCAACAGCACGAUUUCUUACAGUCAUAACGGAUUUGGUAGCUGCGGUUGUCAUUUGCGGAUCUGCCACCGCCGACCGAUUCUAAUUUUUUACCGCGCAGGCAAUAACUAAUGAUAUAAAAAUUAUGCAUGUACAUAAGUUGUAACUUAUAAAAUUCUUAAGCGUUUUUCUCUAAGUGUAUGCUACGCUGUUUUUCCUGUUAACUGCCAACACUGGAUUCACUUUUCAGUGUACUCAUACACCCUGCUUUUAUGUCAUCUUGUAAACAAUUGUAUACAUGGACUUCUAUCCUUUCUAUUACCGCAACCGAAUGAUUCAUGUUUUUGAGUCAAUAAUUCUAUUUUGUCAAAGAAGAUACAACACACAAGAUAACCUGCCGGCUCGAAACAAGAUUCUUUGAUUGUGACUAGUGAUCAGAUAACACUAUAAUGAAGGAACCCUAUGAAAUGCUCAGAUGCUGUCGAUUCAAAAAUUACCCACAAGAAGUUUCCUAUUGGGGUGCAAUCCGAGGAAGCAGUACAGAAGCAGCCAGCAGCUACACUGUCAUCAUCUUGGAAGGAUGAGCUGCCGGUCGUUGACCUACAGUUCAAUUAGGUUCUUUCGGCUGCAGUUUGAAAAACUAGAGAAAACUCGCAGCAAAGAGUUGCAGGUUACUCGGGAAGCGUUAAAUUUCAUGUGGCGGUGUCGGGCGGAACCUUUUCGCUUCUCGUUAGGAAUAAAUUGCAGAUUUUAAAAAUUUCUGCGAAACAUA